ACAAGUGUAAAGCAUUUAAAUAUUUGAAAACUGCAAUUUUAUCAUCACUCUCAACUCUCUUCUUCUAUUCAAUAGUUUACAAAAAUAUGCACCUAUAAUAUUUCACCAAAAAAAGAAAAAAAAAAAAAAAAAACCUCUCUAAUAUUCCACAUCCUCUAUAGAAAGUUUGGUGUCCUCUGCAAUAAUCUUCUGAAGGACGACUGCAAGAUACAAUAUCUCAGUUGAAUUCAGCAGUAACUUUCUGAAUCUUGCCCAGCAAAUCACAAGUGAAAUGAUAUUGUUAACAUACCUGAAGAUGAUUUCCAUCAACCUUUGUCCCCAGCCCCAGGAGACUUUUUGUCCGUAGGAGUUGGUAAAACAUGUUAUUGCUCCAAUGUAGUGCACUCUUUGUGUUGAAUAUAAUGUAUGUAUAGUAUACUAUCUUUCCUUGUUAAUAUAGGUCACAUGUAUGGUAGUUAGGACUCCUAGCCUUGUAUAUAUAUAUCUCUCAAUUGUAAGUAGACAUUACAUGAAUGUGAAUAAGGUUUUUCUCCUCUCUCUCUCUCUCUCUCUCAACAUGGUAUCAGAGCCAAAGGAGAAAACCUAAUUUUUUUUCGGUUUAGCCGUGUACUCAAUUCCGGCGAACCGUCCAGUGACCGUGUUUCACUCCGGUCCCCUCAUUCUCUUCCCGAACCACCCCGGACAACCUCAUCGCCGUCGGAUCUCCACCACGCCGGCAACCUUUUCCGGCGACCUCUUUUCCGGGCAACGACCACAUAUUCCGAAACGCCGGAGGCUGAUCUACACUCCAGUGGAAACCCCACCGGCAACCGGAAUCUCACGCGCCCCCACGCGCCGCUCUUCUCCUCUGGACUGUCACCCACGUGCCUGCGCGUGACGGCGCGUGGCUCACUUUCCGGCCACUUCCGACACCUCUCCAGGCUCGUCCGGCGCCGUCUUGGCCUUCUAGCCCUCCGGCAGUCCUCCCCGAGCCCUGCAUCUCCAUUUUUUCCCUGUUUUUGGCUUUCUUGCCAUUCCGGCCACCUCCGACAGGGCUCCCCCUCCAUCUCCGAGGCUUGGGUGCUGCUUCUCUUCCUCUCCAGGCACGACACGACCUUUUUUCUCCAUUGAUUGCACCUCUCACAGCCGUGGUUUCACUGUUUUUCUCUCUCCGCCGAAAUCUGAACCCAUUUUAAGGCUCUCUUCGAUCCAAAUACGUGAAUAUGACCACCAAAAAUCAGAUCUUUACCUCUAUUCUCUCUGGAUCUCCUCUUAUUACCUCAGAGAAAUUGGUUGGCAGUGAGAAUUAUCUCUCCUGGUCUGCCUCUGUUGAACUUUGGUUUAUGGGUCAAGGAUAUGAGGAUCACUUGGUUACCCAGGAGGCAGAUAUCCCUGAGGUUGACCGCGUACAGUGGAGGAAGAUAAAUGCACAGUUAUGUAGUGUAUUAUGGCAAUCGGUUGAUCCCCGGAUUCUUCUUCAUCUUCAGUCCUAUAAAACUUGUUUUAAAUUUUGGACUCAGGCCAAAGGAUUAUACACGAAUGAUAUCCAGCGUCUUUAUAAGGUGGCUUCUGCUAUUGUCCAUCUCAGCCAACAGGACUUGGAUCUAUCUACUUAUAUUGGUCAGAUUGCCUCUCUUAAGGAGCAGUUCUUGACUGUGAUGCCUCUUACUCCUGAUGUUGGGGCUCAACAAACACAGCUUGACAAGUUCUUCAUGGUCCUUACUCUUAUUGGCCUCCGUCCGGAUCUUGAGCCUAUUCGUGAUCAGAUUCUUGGUAGUUCAUCAGUUCCGUCCUUGGAUGAUGUGUUUGCUCGCCUCCUCCGUAUCUCGUCCACUCAGACUGUGCCAUCUGAUAGCGCUUCAGAUUCUUCUGUGUUAGUUUCUCAAACUACCUCUCGAGGAGGACGCAGUGGUACCCAAGGUAGAGGCCAACGUCCUCAUUGCACCUAUUGCAAUAAACUUGGCCACACUCGCGAUCGUUGCUAUCAGUUACAUGGAAGACCUCCUCGCACUGCCCAUAUGGCCCAGUCCUCUGAUUCUCCGCUGCCUCAGCCUCCGAGCUCCUCCGCAUCUCAGACAUCUCAGGCUUCUAUUGCCUCUGUUGCCCAGCCUGGUAAUGCCUCUGCCUGCCUUACCCACACAUCUUCUCUUGGACCCUGGAUUCUAGAUUCUGGAGCAUCUGAUCACCUAUCUGGUAAUAAGGAUCUUUUCUCCUCUAUUACUACUACCUCUGAUUUACCUACUGUUACCUUAGCCAAUGGUUCUCAAACUGUGGCUAAAGGUAUUGGUUUGGCCCUUCCUCUGCCUUCUCUACCUCUCACUUCUGUCCUUUAUACUCCUAAAUGUCCUUUUAAUCUUAUUUCUAUCAGCAAAAUCACUCGUACUCUUAAUUGCUCUAUUACCUUUUCUGAUAAAUUUGUGACCUUGCAGGACCGGAGUACGGGGAAGACGAUUGGCAUAGGACGUGAGUCUCAAGGCCUCUAUCACCUCACCUCAGAUUCAUCUCCUGCAGUUUGCAUUUCCACUGAUGCUCCUCUCUUCAUUCACAAUCGUCUGGGCCACCCUAGUCUCUCCAAGUUCUAGAAGAUGGUUCCUCGUUUUUCCACUUUGUCGUCGCUUCCGUGUGAGUCAUGUCAGCUUGGGAAACAUACUCGUGUCUCGUUCCCAAAGCGUUUGAAUAAUCGGGCAAAGUCUCCUUUUGAGCUUGUCCACAUUGAUGUUUGGGGUCCUUGUCGGACUGCGUCUACUUUAGGAUUUCAAUAUUUUGUCACUUUCAUUGAUGACUAUUCUCGAUGUACUUGGUUAUUUUUAAUGAAAAAUCGAGCUGAGUUAUUCUCUAUUUUCCAGAAAUUUUAUACUGAAAUCCAAACCCAGUUCAAUAUUUCUAUUCGUGUGUUACGCAGUGACAAUGCCAGGGAAUAUUUUUCAGCCCAAUUUACUUCGUUUAUGUCUCAUCAUGGGAUUCUUCAUCAGUCUUCUUGUGCUCAUACUCCUCAACAAAAUGGGGUAGCUGAACGCAAGAAUCGACAUCUUGUUGAGACAGCUCGUACUCUCCUCCUCCAUAGUCACGUUCCUUUUCGCUUUUGGGGGGACGCUGUUCUUACCGCUUGUUAUUUGAUUAAUCGUAUGCCCUCCUCUGUCUUACACAAUCAGAUUCCUCACUCCCUUCUUUUCCCUGACCAACCACUUUAUUUCCUUCCUCCUCGUGUCUUUGGUUGUACUUGCUUUGUUCAUAUUCUCACUCCUGGACAGGACAAGCUUUCCGCCAAAGCCAUGAAGUGCCUCUUCUUGGGAUAUUCUAGACUUCAGAAGGGUUAUCGUUGUUAUUCCCUUGAGACUCAUCGGUACUUUAUCUCCGCUGAUGUCACCUUCUUUGAGGACUCACCAUUCUUUUCCACCACUUCUGAGUCUCUUCCUGUUUCUGAAGUCUUGCUCAUUCCCAUUGUCUCCCCACCUGAUGCUAUACCCCCUCGACCACUUCAGGUUUAUCAUCGUCGCCCUCGUGUCGUUGCUCCUCUCCCUUUUCCUGAGGCGCCUGCUGACUCACUUCCUAUCCCUUCGGCUUCACCUGCCCCGACUCUGCCUUCUCCUAAUGACUUACCCAUUGCUAUUCGGAAAGGUACUCGCUCUACUCGUAAUCCUCAUCCUAUUUACAAUUUUUUGAGUUAUCAUCGAUUAUCUUCACCCUAUUCUGCUUUUGUUUCUGCUAUAUCCUCUGUUUCUCUUCCAAAGAGCACCCAUAAAGCUCUUUCCCAUCCAGGCUGGCGACAGGCAAUGGUAGAUGAAAUGGUUGCUCUGCACUCUAAUGGCACUUGGGAUCUUGUUGUUUUACCCUCUGGUAAAUCUACAGUUGGUUGUCGUUGGGUCUAUGCAGUUAAGGUUGGUCCUGAUGGUCAAGUUGAUCGCCUUAAGGCCCGCUUAGUUGCUAAAGGCUAUACUCAAGUUUAUGGUUCUAAUUAUGGUGACACAUUCUCCCCUGUUGCCAAGAUUGCUUCUGUCCGCUUGCUUCUCUCCAUGGCUGCUAUGUGUUCUUGGCCUCUUUAUCAGUUGGAUAUUAAAAAUGUCUUCCUUCAUGGUGAUCUUGCCGAGGAAGUUUAUAUGGAGCAACCUCCUGGUUUUGUUGCUCAGGGGGAGUCUGGUUUAGUGUGCAGGUUACGCCGUUCUCUAUAUGGCUUGAAACAAUCUCCUCGAGCAUGGUUUAGCCGUUUUAGUUCUGUUGUUCAAGAGUUUGGCAUGCUUCGCAGUACAGCAGACCAUUUAGUUUUUUAUCAUCAUAACUCCUUGGGGCAGUGUAUUUAUCUGGUUGUUUAUGUGGACGACAUCGUCAUUACAGGCAGUGAUCAGGAUGGUAUUCAGAAACUAAAGCAACAUCUUUUUACCCACUUUCAGACCAAAGACUUGGGGAAACUCAAGUAUUUCUUAGGAAUUGAGAUAGCUCAAUCCAGUUCUGGUGUGGUCCUUUCCCAAAGGAGGUAUGCUUUAGACAUCCUGGAAGAAACCGGUAUGUUAGACUGUAAACCGGUAGACACACCUAUGGAUCCGAAUGUCAAACUUGUACCAGGAUAGGGGGAGCCUUUAGGAGACCCCGGGAGAUAUCGACGGCUCGUAGGUAAAUUGAACUAUCUCACCAUUACUCGUCUAGACAUUUCUUUUCCUGUGAGUGUUGUCAGUCAAUUCCUACAGUCACCAUGUGAUAGCCAUUGGGAUGCCGUAAUCCGUAUUCUUCGAUAUAUCAAAAGUACACCAGGCCAAGGUGUAUUGUACGAGAACAGAGGUCAUACUCAAGUUGUUGGUUACACAGAUGCAGAUUGGGUUGGCUCACCCACAGAUAGACGUUCCACUUCAGGGUACUGUGUUUUUAUUGGAGGUAAUCUAAUAUCUUGGAAGAGUAAGAAACAAGAUGUAGUGGCCAGAUCUAGCACUGAAGCCGAGUAUCGAGCUAUGGCCUUGGCAACAUGUGAACUCAUAUGGUUGAGACAUCUUCUUCAGGAGUUGAGAUUUGGAAAGGAUGAACAGAUGAAACUCAUCUGUGAUAACCAGGCCGCAUUACAUAUUGCAUCCAAUCCAGUCUUUCAUGAAAGGACCAAGCAUAUUGAAGUUGACUGUCAUUUCAUUAGAGAGAAGAUCGCAUCAGGAUGUAUUGCUACAAGUUUUGUCAAUUCAAAUGAUCAACUAGCAGACAUCUUCACUAAAUCUCUCAGAGGUCCUAGGAUUAAAUAUAUUUGUAACAAGCUUGGUGCAUAUGACGUAUAUGCUCCAGCUUGAGGGGGAGUGUUGAAUAUAAUGUAUGUAUAGUAUACUAUCUUUCCUUGUUAAUAUAGGUCACAUGUAUGGUAGUUAGGACUCCUAGCCUUGUAUAUAUAUAUCUCUAAAUUGUAAGUAGACAUUACAUGAAUGUGAAUAAGGUUUUUCUCCUCUCUCUCUCUCUCUCUCUC
RNAcentral lists this long non-coding RNA (5413 nucleotides) under Vitis vinifera (wine grape). RNAcentral's name for it is "long non-coding RNA (VVIN_LNC006710)". The record is from RNAcentral. Lineage: Eukaryota; Viridiplantae; Streptophyta; Magnoliopsida; Vitales; Vitaceae.